RNAcentral lists this ribosomal RNA (250 nucleotides) under uncultured Chroococcidiopsis sp. Its description in RNAcentral is "partial 16S ribosomal RNA". It matches the Rfam family "Bacterial small subunit ribosomal RNA", at positions 796 to 1044 of the family's 1533-position model. Lineage: Bacteria; Bacillati; Cyanobacteriota; Cyanophyceae; Chroococcidiopsidales; Chroococcidiopsidaceae. The record is from RNAcentral.
CUAGCCGUAAACGAUGGAUACUAGGCGUUGUGAGUAUCGACCCUCACAGUGUCGUAGCUAACGCGUUAAGUAUCCCGCCUGGGGAGUACGCGCGCAAGCGUGAAACUCGAAGGAAUUGACGGGGGCCCGCACAAGCGGUGGAGUAUGUGGUUUAAUUCGAUGCAACGCGAAGAACCUUACCAGGACUUGACAUGUCGCGAAUCUCAGGGAAACUUGAGAGUGCCUUCGGGAGCGCGAACACAGGUGGUGC